GACGAACGCUGGCGGCGUGCUUAACACAUGCAAGUCGAACGGAAAGGCCCCUUUGGGGGUACUCGAGUGGCGAACGGGUGAGUAACACGUGAGUAACCUGCCCUUGACUUCGGGAUAACUUCAGGAAACUGGGGCUAAUACCGGAUAGGAAUCCUUGCUGCAUGGUGGGGGUUGGAAAGCUUCGGCGGUUUUGGAUGGACUCGCGGCUUAUUAGCUUGUUGGUGGGGUAGUGGCUUACCAAGGCUUUGACGGGUAGCCGGCCUGUGAGGGUGACCGGCCACAUUGGGACUGAGAUACGGCCCAGACGCCUACGGGAGGAAGCAGUGGGGAAGAUUGCACAAUGGGCGGAAGCCUGAUGCAGCAACGCCGCGUGCGGGAUGACGGCCUUCGGGUUGUAAACCGCUUUCAGCAGGGGCGAAGCUUGUGGUGACGGUACCUGCAGAAGAAGCACCGGCUAACUACGUG
This 465-nucleotide ribosomal RNA is filed under the name uncultured bacterium. Its description in RNAcentral is "partial 16S ribosomal RNA". It matches the Rfam family "Bacterial small subunit ribosomal RNA", at positions 28 to 507 of the family's 1533-position model. The record is from RNAcentral.